CCCUUAGAUGUCCUGGGCCGCACGCGUGCUACACCGAUGCAUACAGCGAGUACUUUCCAGCUCCGCGAGGCAGCUGGUAAUCAGCAAUAUGCAUCGUGCUGGGGAUAGAUCUUUGGAAUUAUAGAUCUUGAACGAGGAAUUCCUAGUAAGCGCAAGUCAUUAGCUUGCGCUGAUUAAGUCCCUGCCCUUUGUACACACCGCCCGUCGCUCCUACCGAUUUCGAGUGAUUCGGUGAACCUUUUGGACAGCGUCUGUCCUCGUGUCAGAUGCUGAAAGUCAAGUAAACCAUAUCACUUAGAGGAAGGAGAAGUCGUAACA
RNAcentral lists this ribosomal RNA (318 nucleotides) under uncultured eukaryote. RNAcentral describes it as "partial 18S ribosomal RNA". It matches the Rfam family "Eukaryotic small subunit ribosomal RNA", at positions 1470 to 1796 of the family's 1831-position model. The record is from RNAcentral.